AGCAGCCGCCGCGGUAAUACGUAGGUCCCGAGCGUUGUCCGGAUUUAUUGGGCGUAAAGCGAGCGCAGGCGGUUAGAUAAGUCUGAAGUUAAAGGCUGUGGCUUAACCAUAGUACGCUUUGGAAACUGUUUAACUUGAGUGCAAGAGGGGAGAGUGGAAUUCCAUGUGUAGCGGUGAAAUGCGUAGAUAUAUGGAGGAACACCGGUGGCGAAAGCGGCUCUCUGGCUUGUAACUGACGCUGAGGCUCGAAAGCGUGGGGAGCAAACAGGAUUAGAUACCCCUGUAGUCCCUGUCUCUUAUACC
RNAcentral lists this ribosomal RNA (303 nucleotides) under uncultured bacterium. RNAcentral describes it as "partial 16S ribosomal RNA". It matches the Rfam family "Bacterial small subunit ribosomal RNA", at positions 507 to 808 of the family's 1533-position model. The record is from RNAcentral.